This 155-nucleotide ribosomal RNA is filed under the name Listeria innocua. RNAcentral describes it as "partial 23S ribosomal RNA". It matches the Rfam family "Bacterial large subunit ribosomal RNA", at positions 2773 to 2925 of the family's 2925-position model. The record is from RNAcentral. Lineage: Bacteria; Bacillati; Bacillota; Bacilli; Caryophanales; Listeriaceae.
GAAAGCAUCUAAGCGUGAAGCCCCCCUCAAGAUGAGAUUUCCCAUUUCUUCGGAAAGUAAGAUCCCUGAAAGAUGAUCAGGUAGAUAGGUUUGGAGUGGAAGUGUAGCGAUACAUGGAGCGGACAAAUACUAAUCGAUCGAGGACUUAACCAAAA